UGGCGAACGGGUGCGUAACGCGUAUGCAAUCUACCUUUUACUAGGGUAUAGCCCGAAGAAAUUUGGAUUAAUCCCCUAUAAUAUCAUGAAUUCGCAUGAUUUUAUGAUUAAAGCUUUGGCGGUAAAAGAUGAGCAUGCGUCCUAUUAGUUAGUAGGUGAGGUAACGGCUCACCUAGACUACGAUAGGUAGGGGUCCUGAGAGGGAGAUCCCCCACACUGGUACUGAGACACGGACCAGACUCCUACGGGAGGCAGCAGUGAGGAAUAUUGGACAAUGGACGAAAGUCUGAUCCAGCUAUGCCGCGUGCAGGAUGACGGCCCUAUGGGUUGUAAACUGCUUUUAUACAGGAAGAAAAAAUCCGACGUGUCGGAUCUUGACGGUACUGUAAGAAUAAGGAUCGGC
This 403-nucleotide ribosomal RNA is filed under the name uncultured Bacteroidota bacterium. RNAcentral's name for it is "bacterial SSU rRNA". It matches the Rfam family "Bacterial small subunit ribosomal RNA", at positions 96 to 497 of the family's 1533-position model. The record is from RNAcentral. Lineage: Bacteria; Pseudomonadati; Bacteroidota.